Molecule: long non-coding RNA, 190 nt
Organism: Mercenaria mercenaria
Lineage: Eukaryota; Metazoa; Mollusca; Bivalvia; Venerida; Veneridae
Exons: 3
Source: RefSeq, a predicted model, not a curated record
AGGUUGUUUAUUCAAGGUUGAUGCCAGAACUGUAUAGUAUCCACGUAAAGACUAAGGAUGUCUGGAACGGGUGACACAGGACAGGAUCAAGCAAAGGAUCUUGAUGUAGACGUUCCUGGUGCCAUUGGGGAUGAAGAAGUUAAAACAAAAGUUGACAAGGAUCAGGAUACCAAAACUAAAUUUGAACAGG